This 330-nucleotide ribosomal RNA is filed under the name uncultured eukaryote. RNAcentral describes it as "partial 18S ribosomal RNA". It matches the Rfam family "Eukaryotic small subunit ribosomal RNA", at positions 1469 to 1796 of the family's 1831-position model. The record is from RNAcentral.
ACCCUUAGAUGUUCUGGGCCGCACGCGCGCUACAAUGAUGAAUUCAACGAGUUUAUAACCUUGGUUGAAAAGCCUGGGUAAUCUUUUGAACUUUCGUCGUGAUGGGGCUAGACCCUUGCAAUUAUUGGUCUCCAACGAGGAAUUCCUAGUAAACGCAAGUCAUCAGCUUGCAUUGAUUACGUCCAUGCCCUUUGUACACACCGCCCGUCGCACCUACCGAUUGAAUGGUCCGGUGAAAUCUUCGGAUUGAGACUUUGAUUUCUUCACGGAAAACGCUGUUUUAAAAAGUUGAUUAAACCUUACCAUUUAGAGGAAGGUGAAGUCGUAACA